CCCCUCUCCUUUCUUUUUUCUUGACCUUGGCUUUGUGCGAGGAGUUUCAGUUUACUCUUGGACUUCUCCAUGUCAACAUUGUGUCCUCUCGCUAUCUACAUGGCUAUUUUCGUGACGCUCUCAACUCAAUUUUCCUUAAGUUUUCUCACCUAUGUUCUACAGUCAUUGCUUAAAAUUGAUAAACUCGGUCCUCUGUAAUUCUCAUUGUGCUAACUCUCACAUCAUGGUCUCUCGCAGGCUAAGGAUUGAAUCAGUAAGUUAUGGAAAGUUGUGUCUUUUGACACAACAUUUAUAACUCGUGAAAAAGUGUAUUUGUGUCUAUCAUUACUCAUCAAAGUAUUGGUUACUCGCUCAAAUGAGCAUAAAAGUGAAAACGUACAUAAGUGGUUUUGUUUUCAACAGAACAUUACAAACGUUCUUAAAAUGUUCAGUGUCGUGUUUGUUACUUUGUGAUCACAAGUUUCAAAGCUUUUAUCAAUCUGUGUUUCGAUAUUCCAGCCGUGUUAUUCAAAAAGAACACAAAAAUCUGUAAAGAUUACCGUUUGUUUCACGUCAGUACCCUUAUUGUGUCAAAAUUUAUCGAAUUUCACAAUUUUCCUGUUUUUCUCGGAAUUUCCAUAUGACGCCUUCGCCAUUAUUGUGAGCAAAAGUGGCGUCCUUCUCCUUUACGUGCUAUGUGCUCGUGUCAAUUCGUGCAUCAUCGCGACUCAUCAUUGGCUGUCAUCCGCAGACUUCGGAUGUACGCCUCCAGGAAGAUGACAAAAGACUGACAAUGAACUAUAUGCAGCAAACAACACAUGUAUUGCAACCUAUGGCUUGGUGACAUUCACUUUGGACUUCAGUCUCCGCUGCACACUUGCAUGGUGAUUCAUAGUUGCUGAUGUAGCCAAGCAAAUCAUUGGCGUUGACUUCUUACAUCACUAUGAUUUCCUUUUUGAUGUUCGCCAACAAUGCUUCAUAGACCAGUUGACAUCAUUGGUUGCUGCUGGCCGUUCAGCAUCAUGCAGAUUGUCUCAAUAGUCUUGAGACUACCCAGACGAAAAUGUCGAGGAGCAUACUUGGUCUACGGUUGAAUCAGCGAGUCAGAAACACCCAGAUUCUGCAGCAGGUGAGAAUUAAAUAUCUUCAAAAGGAAGCGCAUCUCGUCAAAUGGAAAUGGGCAGGACAUGUGGCGAGGAUGGCACCGGAACGCUGGGCAAAGAUAUGCACCAAAUGGAUUCCGCGCGACAGAAGAAGAACGAGAGGACGCCCAGCCAUUAGAUGGAGGGACGAGAUCGCUCAGCGUGUAGGAGAUAUGUGGCCGACAACAGCCAGGGAUCGGAGAAGGUGGUAGAGAAUCAUGGACAAUUUGUAAAUAUAUUGUAAAUUUUGUUAUUUCUAGAUGUUUUUUGUAACUGCCAACCAAAAAUUACCUCAAUUGAGAGGCUUUUGUUCAUUUCAUGAAUGUCAAUAAAGCUAUUAUUAUAAUUAGUAUUAUAUUUGUGGUCAGAAAAAUGAAUUAAAAAUCACAGAGUAGAAGACAGAGAAUGAAUCUGAGAAAAUAUAUUUGAGGUUUGGAAGAAAGAUAAAAAAGUAACUGCAAUAAAAGAAAUAUAGGAUAGUUAAAUGAAGGUGGCAUUUACUAGUUCAUUAUGUGUGAAUGAAUUGCGAGAUAUUCACUGACUUUAUCCAUUCUGCUAUCUUUUUAAUACUAGUUUUUGCUAUUAAGUUAUCUGGUAUGAGAUUGAUCAGUCUGUUACUUAUGUAAGGGAAUUGUCUCCGGCAUACAGUCAUGUCUGUUCUAUUGAUUUGGAAAUUACCCUGCAUACGGAAAUCGUAAGUUCUAAUUUGUGGUGUGAAUUGAUUUAUAUUUUUAAUUAUAUAUAGUAUUAUAUUCUUAACAAAUAACUGUCUGAACUGUUAAUAUUAGAAAUUCAAUGAAAAGGAGAUGUGUAGGGUAUCUUCUAGGUCGGCCAAGUGCUGCUUUUAUUAUGUGCUUUUGAAUAAGAUAGAUUUUAUUGAAAUGUGUGUCUAAUGCUCCACCCCAUACCCUAAUACCAUAUUGCAAAACCGACUGGG
RNAcentral lists this long non-coding RNA (2058 nucleotides) under Nilaparvata lugens (brown planthopper). RNAcentral describes it as "uncharacterized LOC120354900". Lineage: Eukaryota; Metazoa; Arthropoda; Insecta; Hemiptera; Delphacidae. The record is from RNAcentral.